GAUGAACGCUGGCGGCGUGCUUAGCACAUGCAAGUCGAACGGUGAAGCAGGAGCUUGCUCUUGUGGAUCAGUGGCGAACGGGUGAGUAACACGUGAGCAACCUGCCCCUGACUCUGGGAUAAGCGCUGGAAACGGCGUCUAAUACUGGAUAUGUGAUGUGACCGCAUGGUCUGCAUCUGGAAAGAAUUUCGGUUGGGGAUGGGCUCGCGGCCUAUCAGCUUGUUGGUGAGGUAAUGGCUCACCAAGGCGUCGACGGGUAGCCGGCCUGAGAGGGUGACCGGCCACACUGGGACUGAGACACGGCCCAGACUCCUACGGGAGGCAGCAGUGGGGAAUAUUGCUCAAUGGGCGGAAGCCUGAUGCAGCAACGCCGCGUGAGGGAUGACGGCCUUCGGGUUGUAAACCUCUUUUAGCAGGGAAGAAGCGAAAGUGACGGUACCUGCAGAAAAAGCACCGGCUAACUGCGUGCCAGCAGCCGCCGUAA
Molecule: ribosomal RNA, 484 nt
Filed under: uncultured bacterium
Lineage: Bacteria
Description: partial 16S ribosomal RNA
Rfam family: Bacterial small subunit ribosomal RNA
Source: RNAcentral